GCACUAAUGGGGUAGUGGUAACCUCGGAGUUUCCCAUCUUGAAGAUACUACUCUGGCCCCGUGUUCGAUUCACGGUUAGUGCA
RNAcentral lists this transfer RNA (83 nucleotides) under Hypoxylon crocopeplum. RNAcentral's name for it is "tRNA-Gly". Lineage: Eukaryota; Fungi; Ascomycota; Sordariomycetes; Xylariales; Hypoxylaceae. The record is from RNAcentral.